Molecule: small RNA, 571 nt
Filed under: Pan troglodytes (chimpanzee)
Lineage: Eukaryota; Metazoa; Chordata; Mammalia; Primates; Hominidae
Description: processed transcript
Source: RNAcentral
AAACACACUCAUUUGCGGUCAUUGAGGCCACCUUGGCGCAGAUCACUUAAAGUGAAAAGGUGGACCUGGACUGAGGGUGUAAAAUCCCUGGACACAUUCGUGAGGCAGGAAAAAGAAGAGGAAGAUUAGAAGAUUUUUUUUUUUCUUUGAGAGAAAGCCCAGCGGAGAUAAACGAAUGUCCCCUCAUCUCCAAAGAAAAGUUCAUCGGAUUUUUAUUCUAGAGAGCUCAUCUUCAGGAUGUCAGUGAACAUUUCUACUGCAGGAAAAGGUGUGGAUCCAAAUACAGUUGAUACUUAUGACAGUGGCGAUGAUUGGGAAAUCGGGGUUGGAAAUUUAAUAAUUGAUUUGGACGCUGAUUUGGAGAAGGACAGACAGAAAUUUGAGAUGAAUAAUUCCACCACCACCACUAGUAGCAGCAACUCCAAGGAUUGUGGAGGUCCGGCCUCCAGUGGGGCUGGUGCUACCGCAGCCUUAGCUGAUGGCCUAAAAUUUGCUUCUGUUCAGGCCUCUGCUCCCCAGGGGAAUUCACACAAAGAGACCAGCAAAUCAAAAGUGAAAAGGAGUAAAACUU